GACGAUCCCUAGCUGGUCUGAGAGGAUGACCAGCCACACUGGAACUGAGACACGGUCCAGACUCCUACGGGAGCCAGCAGUGGGGAAUAUUGCACAAUGGGCGCAAGCCUGAUGCAGCCAUGCCGCGUGUGUGAAGAAGGCCUUCGGGUUGUAAAGCACUUUCAGCGAGGAGGAAGGUGGUGAGCUUAAUACGCUCAUCAAUUGA
Molecule: ribosomal RNA, 205 nt
Filed under: uncultured Serratia sp.
Lineage: Bacteria; Pseudomonadati; Pseudomonadota; Gammaproteobacteria; Enterobacterales; Yersiniaceae
Description: partial 16S ribosomal RNA
Rfam family: Bacterial small subunit ribosomal RNA
Source: RNAcentral